GAUGAACGCUGGCGGCGUGCCUAAUACAUGCAAGUCGAGCGAACGUACGAGAAGCUUGCUUCUCUGAUGUUAGCGGCGGACGGGUGAGUAACACGUGGAUAACCUACCUAUAAGACUGGGAUAACUUCGGGAAACCGGAGCUAAUACCGGAUAAUAUUUUGAACCGCUUGGUUCAAAAGUGAAAGACGGUCUUGCUGUCACUUAUAGAUGGAUCCGCGCUGCAUUAGCUAGUUGGUAAGGUCACGGCUUACCAAGGCAACGAUGCAUAGCCGACCUGACAGGGUGAUCGGGCACACGGGAACUGAGACACGGUCCAGACUCCUGCGGGAGGCAGCAGUAGGGAAUCUUCCGCAAUGGGCGAAAGCCUGACGGAGGAACGCCGCGUGAGUGAUGAAGGUCUUCGGAUCGUAAAACUCUGUUAUUAGGGAAGAACAUAUGUGUAAGUAACUGUGCACAUCUUGACGGUACCUAAGCAGAAAGCCACGGCUAACUACGUG
RNAcentral lists this ribosomal RNA (497 nucleotides) under uncultured bacterium. Its description in RNAcentral is "partial 16S ribosomal RNA". It matches the Rfam family "Bacterial small subunit ribosomal RNA", at positions 28 to 507 of the family's 1533-position model. The record is from RNAcentral.